GCCUGAGUGGCUCAGUCAGUUGAGCGUCUGACUCUUCGGCUCAGGUCAUGACCUCAUGGUUCGUGGGUUCGAGCCCCACAUCGGGCU
Molecule: transfer RNA, 87 nt
Filed under: Felis catus (domestic cat)
Lineage: Eukaryota; Metazoa; Chordata; Mammalia; Carnivora; Felidae
Also listed under: 1 other name
Rfam family: tRNA
About the family: Transfer RNA (tRNA) molecules are approximately 80 nucleotides in length. Their secondary structure includes four short double-helical elements and three loops (D, anti-codon, and T loops).
Source: Rfam by way of RNAcentral